This 253-nucleotide ribosomal RNA is filed under the name uncultured bacterium. Its description in RNAcentral is "partial 16S ribosomal RNA". It matches the Rfam family "Bacterial small subunit ribosomal RNA", at positions 524 to 776 of the family's 1533-position model. The record is from RNAcentral.
UACGUAGGGCGCAAGCGUUGUCCGGAAUUAUUGGGCGUAAAGAGCUCGUAGGUGGCUUGUCGCGUCUGCCGUGAAAGCCCAUGGCUUAACUGUGGGUCUGCGGUGGAUACGGGCAGGCUGGAGGCUGGUAGGGGCAAGCGGAAUUCCUGGUGUAGCGGUGAAAUGCGUAGAUAUCUGGAGGAACACCGGUGGCGAAGGCGGCAUCCUGGACCGAUACUGACGCUGAGGAGCGAAAGCCAGGGGAGCAAACGGG